AGUGAACGCUGGCGGUAGGCCUAACACAUGCAAGUCGAACGGCAGCACAGUAAGAGCUUGCUCUUACGGGUGGCGAGUGGCGGACGGGUGAGGAAUACAUCGGAAUCUACUUUUUCGUGGGGGAUAACGUAGGGAAACUUACGCUAAUACCGCAUACGACCUACGUGUGAAAGCAGGGGAUCUUCGGACCUUGCGCGAUUGAAUGAGCCGAUGUCGGAUUAGCUAGUUGGCGGGGUAAAGGCCCACCAAGGCGACGAUCCGUAGCUGGUCUGAGAGGAUGAUCAGCCACACUGGAACUGAGACACGGGCCAGACACCUACGGGAGGCAGCAGUGGGGAAUAUUGGACAAUGGGCGCAAGCCUGAUCCAGCCAUACAGCGUGGGUGAAGAAGGCCUUCGGGUUGUAAAGCCCUUUUGUUGGGAAAGAAAAGCAGCAGGUUAAGACCCCGCUGUUCUGACGGUACCCAAAGAAUAAGCACCGGCUAACUUCGU
Molecule: ribosomal RNA, 491 nt
Filed under: uncultured bacterium
Lineage: Bacteria
Description: partial 16S ribosomal RNA
Rfam family: Bacterial small subunit ribosomal RNA
Source: RNAcentral